UCCUAGCACGUGAACGUCACUGGUCGGCAGGUGCUAAGACGUCGAAUGCGGCUUAUACGAGAAGGAGCGACCACUAGCGACUCUGCGCGCGCGAUCGAGCGAGCGAGCGAGCGAGCGAACGGCAGUGGUAGCGGGCAAUGGCAACUAUAGAGUUGGUGGUUACACUCUCGCGACGGGGACUCCUAGCCGCUUCACCGCGCGAGCGCGGGCGCGCGCGCGAGCGCGGAUCGUAAGGGGAUCCGCAGGACGUGGACCGACUUCUUCCCUCCUUCUCAGUGCGCGACUCCGACGAGAACGCGUAUGGCCCGCGUCGCUCAACGGAAACCCCUAGAGUCAUGGAUACCAUCUUUGCACCCUUUAUAGCUUUACUGUUUUUUCCAGCGUAUUGAAUAAGCUCGUCGCGACAUGGGAUAUGGCAUCUGUCUGUCUAGCGGAAAAUCUAGAGCGUUAUUUUCCACCGUAAUUACCUUCUGCGAUUAAAGUACUGGAUAAAAGAAGCGAGAAUUGUGUGUUUCACGUCCAUCGUUUUCGAUUCGUCGACCACAUGCUGGUCGACCGUCUAAUAGCAAGAAGUAAUAAAGACGUGAUAAAGCGAAAGUGCGGAGGAAGUCGUGAAGUACAAGCCUCUCGUAAUACAUAAAGCAGAAUCAAAGUAAAGCAUUAUCCGUUUGUACAUAAUUACUGUAAACGACACUUCGCUCGAACAACAUUUUUACAACGUUGAGAGAAGAUCAGUUAAUCAACCAACAUAUAUAUGAAAUAUAUACAUAAAAAAAUAUUUAAAUACCAUUAAUUAAUAAACAUAAACAUUCGUGUAUCCAACUCGUUUUCAUGUUAUAUAUAGAUUUAUACAAAUAAGAUUCUAUCGUAUCUUUAGGUAAUAGGAAUUUAUUAAAAAAUUCCUCGUGAUUAACAAUAGGCUAAUCGAAGAAGAAAUGCGAAAUAUUAUGUCGUAAAAUGCUUCUUGUUGUUGACAUCAAUAAAUGAA
Molecule: long non-coding RNA, 988 nt
Organism: Camponotus floridanus (Florida carpenter ant)
Lineage: Eukaryota; Metazoa; Arthropoda; Insecta; Hymenoptera; Formicidae
Exons: 4
Source: RefSeq, a predicted model, not a curated record